RNAcentral lists this ribosomal RNA (524 nucleotides) under uncultured bacterium. Its description in RNAcentral is "bacterial SSU rRNA". It matches the Rfam family "Bacterial small subunit ribosomal RNA", at positions 985 to 1509 of the family's 1533-position model. The record is from RNAcentral.
CAUCCAGCGAACUUGGCAGAGAUGCCUUGGUGCCUUCGGGAACGCUGAGACAGGUGCUGCAUGGCUGUCGUCAGCUCGUGUUGUGAAAUGUUGGGUUAAGUCCCGNAACGAGCGCAACCCUUAUCCUUUGUUGCCAGCGAUUCGGUCGGGAACUCAAAGGAGACUGCCGGUGAUAAACCGGAGGAAGGUGGGGAUGACGUCAAGUCAUCAUGGCCCUUACGAGUAGGGCUACACACGUGCUACAAUGGCGCAUACAAAGAGAAGCGACCUCGCGAGAGCAAGCGGACCUCAUAAAGUGCGUCGUAGUCCGGAUCGGAGUCUGCAACUCGACUCCGUGAAGUCGGAAUCGCUAGUAAUCGUGGAUCAGAAUGCCACGGUGAAUACGUUCCCGGGCCUUGUACACACCGCCCGUCACACCAUGGGAGUGGGUUGCAAAAGAAGUAGGUAGCUUAACCUUCGGGAGGGCGCUUACCACUUUGUGAUUCAUGACUGGGGUGAAGUCGUAACAAGGUAAGCGUAGCGAG